UACGGAGGGUGCAAGCGUUACUCGGAAUCACUGGGCGUAAAGCGCGCGCAGGCGGCUAGAUAAGUUGGAAGUGAAAUCCUAUGGCUCAACCAUAGAACUGCUUCCAAAACUGUUUAGCUAGAGUCUGGGAGGGGAAGAUGGAAUUAGUAGUGUAGGGGUAAAAUCCGUAGAGAUUACUAGGAAUACCAAAAGCGAAGGCGAUCUUCUGGGACAGUACUGACGCUGAGGCGCGAAAGCGUGGGGAGCAAACAGGAUUAGAUACCCUGGUAGUCCACGCCCUAAACGAUGAAUGUUAGUCCUCGGGACUCUAGUAGUUUCGGUGAUGCAGUUAACACAUUAAACAUUCCGCCUGGGGAGUACGGUCGCAAGAUUAAAACUCAAAGGAAUAGACGGGGACCCGCACAAGUGGUGGAGCAUGUGGUUUAAUUCGAAGAUACGCGAAGAACCUUACCUAGCCUUGACAUAUUUUAGAACUCCGCAGAGAUGUAGAGGUGCCUUCGGGAGCUAAUAUACAGGUGCUGCACGGCUGUCGUCAGCUCGUGUCGUGAGAUGUUGGGUUAGGUCCCGCAACGAGCGCAACCCUCGUUCUUAGUUACUAACGGUUCGGCCGAGGACUCUAAGAAGACUGCCUUCGUAAGGAGGAGGAAGGUGAGGACGACGUCAAGUCAUCAUGGCCCUUACGGCUAGGGCAACACACGUGCUACAAUGGUUAGGACAAUGAGACGCAAUACCGCGAGGUGGAGCAAAUCUAUAAACCUAAUCUCAGUUCGGAUUGUAGUCUGCAACUCGACUACAUGAAGCUGGAAUCACUAGUAAUCGUAGAUCAGCUAUGCUACG
This 837-nucleotide ribosomal RNA is filed under the name uncultured Sulfurovum sp. RNAcentral describes it as "bacterial SSU rRNA". It matches the Rfam family "Bacterial small subunit ribosomal RNA", at positions 524 to 1361 of the family's 1533-position model. Lineage: Bacteria; Pseudomonadati; Campylobacterota; Epsilonproteobacteria; Campylobacterales; Sulfurovaceae. The record is from RNAcentral.